Portunus trituberculatus (swimming crab) is the source of this 1085-nucleotide long non-coding RNA. RefSeq lists it as uncharacterized. The record is from RefSeq and is a predicted model, not a curated record. The transcript is spliced from 8 exons. Lineage: Eukaryota; Metazoa; Arthropoda; Malacostraca; Decapoda; Portunidae.
CUCCAGAAUCGCGUAUUGAGGUUGGUUUCAUAAGUUCCAUGGAAAUAUAUAGUUUUUUCCCCUCGUUGAUUUGUUACUGCGCUGUACUAGGAAGAGAGCAGGGGGUGUUGUAAGCAGCGCGCCACACAGCCCAGCGCGGUAAUCGGCUCAGCGCGGCGGUGGUGGGGGUACAGAAGCUACCCGUCCAAGAUGACGCCACCACGAGCCAAGCGCUGUGCCGUUCCUCAUUCCAACUGCUUAUCUGGCGCGGGACAUCUUGCCACGUACACAUCUCAGAGGAAGUGUCAAGUGAAGCAGCCUCGACCACAGUGGAUAUCUAGCAUUGCGCCCGGUGUGAACAGACCCAUGGCAACCACUCUGGUGCCUCGUGUGCCUCGCCUCCCUGUGUGAAGCGGCCUUCAGGCAACUCUCCUUCAUAUCAUUUGUUGCAGUUCCCUAAGGAGUUGAAGGAAAAUAAUGUUUGUUUUUGUGGACCAAACUCACCAUUGGAGGUAGUCCAUGCUGCCAAACCAUCACGGGAGAGACGAGGAGUUGGCGGAAUGUUGUUUGAUGAUCUUUAGGACGCAGAGCCAGAGAAGACGUUUGGGUUUGUGAGGGACUGUGCUGAAGCUGUCAUUCCUUCCUAUCUACCCCUGGUCAAGAAUCACAAGAACAAUGCUGUGUCGGAGGCAGAGCGGUGUUGGCGACUGCUGCGUUGAGGGAGGUACAUGGAGUUCAACUUGGUGUACCAGUGAGGCACCAAGUUUGGAUUUGCCACGCCCAACGCCAAGAUUGAAAGUAUCUUGAUGUCCCCUUCAUGUGGUUGUGUCAAGAUAUGGAGGGAGAAAGAACAGCCAAGGAGGAGGAGGGAGAGGUACAGGAAGAUAACAAGAAGAAGAAGAAAAAGAAGAAAGAAUGAAUGAAGAGAAAAAAAGAAAAAGGAAAGUCAAGCCAAGAGUCCCUGAAUGCUGUGAAGGAGACACUGCUGCUGGAACACUGCACCUCCAAGCCAAGCCAAGCCACAACACAACACAAGCCUUCUACAACACCUACAGCCAUCAGCAACACCCAGAGUACAAGACAACACCUGGAGCCAUGAAGAACAG